UACGGAGGAUGCGAGCGUUAUCCGGAUUUAUUGGGUUUAAAGGGUGCGCAGGCGGUCUGUUAAGUCAGCGGUCAAAGCCCGGGGCUCAACCCCGGCCCGCCGUCGAAACUGGCGGUCUCGAGUUGGAGAGAAGUAUGCGGAAUGCGCGGUGUAGCGGUGAAAUGCAUAGAUAUCACGCAGAACCCCGAUUGCGAAGGCAGCAUGCCGGCUUCCUACUGACGCUGAAGCACGAAAGCGUGGGGAUCGAACAGG
Molecule: ribosomal RNA, 252 nt
Filed under: uncultured bacterium
Lineage: Bacteria
Description: partial 16S ribosomal RNA
Rfam family: Bacterial small subunit ribosomal RNA
Source: RNAcentral